UAUUGGUAAGGCAGAGGUGUUGUAGGAGAGCUGUGUACUUAAAAACUUGCACAGGCCUACCCACAACUACUCCUUGGUCCCUGUUAACGCUGUUAACCUCUUCCUUUCUAAAGCAACAAGAUAAGAGAAGUUGGAAGCAUUCGUGAUGCAUGAAGAACCUUGUUGAAGACAUGGAAGUCUCCAGCAGAAUGUCUGUUCCACGGGGCUCUCCCACCUCGCACCCCAUCAGCUGGCACAAACGUGGGACUGCUCCUCCAAUGUGCCUGAGGGGAUGGAGUGCCGCCAGGAAUAAAGGAGCAGGAGCAUGGACGUGACCACGGACAUGCCAGGACCCUGAGCAGAAGGAACAUUUCAGGAAAAUCUCUUCUCUUUUUCACACAGUAACUUUGAACAGAGGAACCAUCGAAAUUCCAGAGAAAAGAGAAUCU
This 428-nucleotide long non-coding RNA is filed under the name Phasianus colchicus (ring-necked pheasant). RNAcentral describes it as "lncRNA (ENSPCLG00000001814.1)". Lineage: Eukaryota; Metazoa; Chordata; Aves; Galliformes; Phasianidae. The record is from RNAcentral.